This is a long non-coding RNA of Lathyrus oleraceus (garden pea), 381 nucleotides long. RefSeq lists it as uncharacterized. The record is from RefSeq and is a predicted model, not a curated record. The transcript has 2 exons. Lineage: Eukaryota; Viridiplantae; Streptophyta; Magnoliopsida; Fabales; Fabaceae.
GAAGAUAUAUCAGAAAGAAGAAAAGAAAGGAAAGAAAAGAAAGAGGAAAAGAAGAAAGGAGAAAGUGGAAGAAGAGGAGAAGAAGAGGAAGGAACCACCACCACCACCAUAUCAUCUUCAUCAUCACCAUCUUCAUCUUCUUCUACUAGGUAUUCUUUACAGGUUGAAUUUAAGAGAAACUGUUAUGGAUGUUUCAAGGGUUGCUGUUCAUUAUGAUCUUCCGCUGUGGAGUUGUGUGCAAUGAAGAUAUUGUACAUAGUUCUUAGAUUUUUAUUGUUUAGGCAUUAUUGUAUAACAUGUUCCAUUGAUGUUUUUAGUUUGGACAUGUAUAUAUAUUGAUGCCAUUAGGCACUUAUGUUGUGACAGUACCAAAAUUUAAUA